CCAAAGGCGAAGGCAAUUGGCUGGUGCCUAACUGACGCUGAAACACGAAAGCGUGGGGAGAAAAGAGGAUUAGAUACCCUCGUAUUCCACGCCGUAAACGAUGUCAACUAGCCGUUCGGAGUAUCGACCCUCUGAGUGGCGUAGCUAACGCGUUAAGUUGACCGCCUGGGAAGUACGAGCGCAAGCUUAAAACUCAAAGGAAUAGACGGGGACUUGCACAAGCGGUGGACCAUGUGGUUUAAUUCGAUGAUACGCGAGGAACCUUACCAGGGCUUGACAUUCUAGUGACCAUUUAUCGAAAGAUAGAUUUUCUUUUAGACACUAGAGUCAGGUGGUGCACGGUUGCCGUCAGCAUGUGCCUUGAGGUGCUCCCUUAAAUGGGUUAACAUGCGCAACCCUCGUCCUAUGUUAUAAGUGUCAUAGGAGACUGCCUCCGAAUAGGGGGAGGAAGGAGAGGAUGACGUCAAAUCAGCGUGUCCUUUUGAUGCCCUGGGCGACACACAUGGUACAAUGGUCGGGACAACGGGUUGCCAAACCGAAAGGUGGAGCUAAUCCUAUCAAACCCGGCCCCAGUUCGGAUUGAGGGCUGAAAUUCGCCCUCAUGAAGUUGGAAUCGCUAGUAAUCGCGGAUCAGCCACGCCGCGGUGAAUACGUUCUCAAGUCUUGUACUCGGGUGCCAUGCAGUUUUAAAAGCUAGUCCGUU
RNAcentral lists this ribosomal RNA (703 nucleotides) under Patescibacteria group bacterium. RNAcentral describes it as "bacterial SSU rRNA". It matches the Rfam family "Bacterial small subunit ribosomal RNA", at positions 708 to 1533 of the family's 1533-position model. The record is from RNAcentral.